GCUUACGGCCAUACCACCCUGAGCGCGCCCGAUCUCGUCUGAUCUCGGAAGCUAAGCAGGGUCGGGCCUGGUUAGUACUUGGAUGGGAGACCGCCUGGGAAUACCAGGUGCUGUAAGCUUUA
This 122-nucleotide ribosomal RNA is filed under the name Cyprinus carpio (common carp). The record is from RNAcentral. Lineage: Eukaryota; Metazoa; Chordata; Actinopteri; Cypriniformes; Cyprinidae.